RNAcentral lists this ribosomal RNA (253 nucleotides) under uncultured bacterium. RNAcentral's name for it is "partial 16S ribosomal RNA". It matches the Rfam family "Bacterial small subunit ribosomal RNA", at positions 524 to 776 of the family's 1533-position model. The record is from RNAcentral.
UACGUAGGGUGCAAGCAUUAAUCGGAAUUACUGGGCGUAAAGCGUGCGCAGGAGGUUGUGCAAGACAGGUGUGAGAUCCCCGGGCUUAACCUGGGAACUGCACUUGUGACUGCACGGCUUGAGUGCGGCAGAGGGGGAUGGAAUUCCGCGUGUAGCAGUGAAAUGCGUAGAUAUGCGGAGGAACACCGAUGGCGAAGGCAGUCCCCUGGGCCUGCACUGACGCUCAUGCACGAAAGCGUGGGGAGCAAACAGG